ACACCGCAAUAGGUACAAUUUUGUUUUGUGAAACUGUCAAGCUAAAAAUCACUGAAUUUUCUUCAAAAGAUUGUAUGAAAUAAGACAGCUUUCUAAAUUAACUAUUAGUCAUUUAAAACGUGUUCUUCUCCAACAACUAUCAAGUAGAGUUCAAACGUAAAAUUAUCAAAGCUCUAAGUUUAUUGCAGUGUUCUCAGCUUUGAUCUAAGAGAGAAAAAGCUAAUUUUCCUAAGGACAUAGCAAGGAAAUUCACUAAUAAUAUUUUGUGAAAACUACACCUUAGAAAACUACCAAAAUGAGUCAAAAUAUACAUGUAUUUUCCUGUAAUUACU
This 332-nucleotide long non-coding RNA is filed under the name Bos taurus (domestic cattle). Its description in RNAcentral is "long non-coding RNA NONBTAT001729". Lineage: Eukaryota; Metazoa; Chordata; Mammalia; Artiodactyla; Bovidae. The record is from RNAcentral.